UCUUUCUCUCUCUCUCUCUCUCUCUCUCCCUCUCUCUCUCUCUCUCUCUGUGUGUGUGUGUGUGUGUGUGUGAGAGAGAGAGAGAGAGAGAGAGAGAGAGGGAGAGAAAGA
Molecule: non-coding RNA, 111 nt
Organism: Podarcis lilfordi (Lilford's wall lizard)
Lineage: Eukaryota; Metazoa; Chordata; Lepidosauria; Squamata; Lacertidae
Source: the annotation of a GenBank genome assembly